UUACUUCUCCCUCCCUCGUUUGUUUUUUGUGCUCUGUUUUCUCUCAUUUUUCAAUUUUGUCUCUUGUUUUCUCUAAUGCUGUAAAACUCUUUCGUCCAUUAGCGCUUGUCGGUCCUCACUCUCAGUUCUAAAUCCACGCACACAUCAACUACCAAAUUUGUCUUCAGCUUGUCCAGCAAUCAAUCUCGCUCAUACUGAUUCUCGACAGUGAUCAAAACCAUCGAACCAUCCCUCUCUCGGCACUCCCAUUGACAACCGAUUGCAUGCAUCAGCAGAUUCUGAAUCUCGACAGUGAUAAAAAAAAAAAAAAGAGAUGGCCUUCUUGGUAGUUUGUGUGGGACUCUUCAAUUCUUCAAUUCUUGGAAUUGUGAUAUUUUUGGUUUGUUCAUUGCUAAGCCCUAUUGCCUUCAUUGCCAUUCUCCACUUCCAGUCAUCAAAAUAUGGAGCAAGUUGAGAAGAAUACGGGGAAAGGAAAGGAAAGGAAACAUCGAGUCAAGGCCUAGAGGCGACUCGCACGAGGUAGAGAGACUAGUAAAGCAGUCGAGUGAUCUGUUAAGGACUACUGCACUACACUUUGAGAUUCUGCCGGGUAUUAAAUUAUACCCUUUGUACAUAUUUAUUUUGAUGUAUAUGACUGUAUGUACAUGUUGUAAAUUGGUUUUGAGCAGUU
Molecule: long non-coding RNA, 670 nt
Organism: Hevea brasiliensis (rubber tree)
Lineage: Eukaryota; Viridiplantae; Streptophyta; Magnoliopsida; Malpighiales; Euphorbiaceae
Exons: 4
Source: RefSeq, a predicted model, not a curated record